CCAGCCAUGCCGCGUGUGUGAAGAAGGCCYUAUGGKUGUAAAGCACUUUAAGCGAGGAGGAGGCUCUUCUAGUUAAUWCCUAGGAUGAGUGGACGUUACUSSCAGAAUAAGCACCGGGCUAACUCUGUGCCAGCAGCCGCGGUAAUACAGAGGGUGCGAGCGGUUAAUCGGAUUUACUGGGCGUAAAGCGUGCGUAGGCGGCUUUUUAAGUCGGAUGUGAAAUCCCCGAGCUUAACUUGGGAAUUGCAUUCGAUACUGGGAAGCUAGAGUAUGGGAGAGGAUGGUAGAAUUCCAGGUGUAGCGGUGAAAUGCGUAGAGAUCUGGAGGAAUACCGAUGGCGAAGGCAGCCAUCUGGCCUAAUACUGACGCUGAGGUACGAAAGCAUGGGGAGCAAACAGGAUUAGAUACCCUGGUAGUCCAUGCCGUAAACGAUGUCUACUAGCCGUUGGGGCCUUUGAGGCUUUAGUGGCGCAGCUAACGCGAUAAGUAGACCGCCUGGGGAGUACGGUCGCAAGACUAAAACUCAAAUGAAUUGACGGGGGCCCGCACAAGCGGUGSAGCAUGUGGUUUAAUUCGAUGCAACGCGAAGAACCUUACCUGGUCUUGACAUAGUARGAACUUUCCAGAGAUGGAUUGGUGCCUUCGGGAACUUACAUACAGGUGCUGCAUGGCUGUCGUCAGCUCGUGUCGUGAGAUGUUGGGYUAAGUCCCGCAACGAGSGCAACCCUUUUCCKUAUUKGCCAGCACUYC
Molecule: ribosomal RNA, 750 nt
Filed under: bacterium teestaren1
Lineage: Bacteria
Description: bacterial SSU rRNA
Rfam family: Bacterial small subunit ribosomal RNA
Source: RNAcentral